CAGUCGCCACGGGAAUACGUAGGUGGCAAACGUUGUCCGGAAUUAUUGGGCGUAAAGCGCGCGCAGGUGGUUAAUAAGUCUGAUGUGAAAGCCCACGGCUCAACCGUGGAGGGUCAUUGGAAACUGUUAAACUUGAGUGCAGGAGAGGAGAGUGGAAUUCCACGUGUAGCGGUGAAAUGCGUAGAGAUGUGGAGGAACACCAGUGGCGAAGGCGACUCUCUGGUCUGUAACUGACGCUGAGGAGCGAAAGCGUGGGGAGCGAACAGGAUUAGAUACCCCUGUAGUCCCUGUCUCUUAUACA
This 301-nucleotide ribosomal RNA is filed under the name uncultured bacterium. RNAcentral's name for it is "partial 16S ribosomal RNA". It matches the Rfam family "Bacterial small subunit ribosomal RNA", at positions 509 to 808 of the family's 1533-position model. The record is from RNAcentral.